AGAGUUUGAUCCUGGCUCAGAACGAACGCUGGCGGCAUGCCUAACACAUGCAAGUCGAACGAGACCUUCGGGUCUAGUGGCGCACGGGUGCGUAACGCGUGGGAACCUGCCUUUGGUUCGGAAUAACUCAGAGAAAUUUGAGCUAAUACCGGAUAAUGUCUUCGGACCAAAGAUUUAUCGCCAUUAGAUGGGCCCGCGUAAGAUUAGCUAGUUGGUGGGGUAAAGGCCUACCAAGGCGACGAUCUUUAGCUGGUCUGAGAGGAUGAUCAGCCACACUGGGACUGAGACACGGCCCAGACUCCUACGGGAGGCAGCAGUGGGGAAUAUUGGACAAUGGGCGAAAGCCUGAUCCAGCAAUGCCGCGUGAGUGAUGAAGGCCUUAGGGUUGUAAAGCUCUUUACCCGAGAUGAUAAUGACAGUAUCGGGAGAAUAAGCUCCGGCUAACUCCGUG
RNAcentral lists this ribosomal RNA (451 nucleotides) under uncultured bacterium. RNAcentral's name for it is "bacterial SSU rRNA". It matches the Rfam family "Bacterial small subunit ribosomal RNA", at positions 8 to 507 of the family's 1533-position model. The record is from RNAcentral.